This 498-nucleotide ribosomal RNA is filed under the name Pediococcus pentosaceus. RNAcentral's name for it is "bacterial SSU rRNA". It matches the Rfam family "Bacterial small subunit ribosomal RNA", at positions 413 to 902 of the family's 1533-position model. The record is from RNAcentral. Lineage: Bacteria; Bacillati; Bacillota; Bacilli; Lactobacillales; Lactobacillaceae.
GGGUUUCGGCUCGUAAAGCUCUGUUGUUAAAGAAGAACGUGGGUAAGAGUAACUGUUUACCCAGUGACGGUAUUUAACCAGAAAGCCACGGCUAACUACGUGCCAGCAGCCGCGGUAAUACGUAGGUGGCAAGCGUUAUCCGGAUUUAUUGGGCGUAAAGCGAGCGCAGGCGGUCUUUUAAGUCUAAUGUGAAAGCCUUCGGCUCAACCGAAGAAGUGCAUUGGAAACUGGGAGACUUGAGUGCAGAAGAGGACAGUGGAACUCCAUGUGUAGCGGUGAAAUGCGUAGAUAUAUGGAAGAACACCAGUGGCGAAGGCGGCUGUCUGGUCUGCAACUGACGCUGAGGCUCGAAAGCAUGGGUAGCGAACAGGAUUAGAUACCCUGGUAGUCCAUGCCGUAAACGAUGAUUACUAAGUGUUGGAGGGUUUCCGCCCUUCAGUGCUGCAGCUAACGCAUUAAGUAAUCCGCCUGGGGAGUACGACCGCAAGGUUGAAACUC